AUAUCAGACCAAAAAUACAUCUACAUAAAUUCUCACACAAACAUACAAACAGUCACACACAAUGCAUAGCUUAGUCCAAAUUAUUUCAAAAGAAUAAAAAGGAAAUAGAUGCUACGACAAAGAAAGAAAAUAUUGAUAUAAUAGAGAAUAGAAAUCCGGAACCCAUGUGACUCAAUGGCCGCUCUUCUCAGCAAUUCGUGGUGGCCCAGCCAUAGAAAGCA
RNAcentral lists this long non-coding RNA (221 nucleotides) under Elaeis guineensis (African oil palm). RNAcentral describes it as "long non-coding RNA (EGUI_LNC014767)". Lineage: Eukaryota; Viridiplantae; Streptophyta; Magnoliopsida; Arecales; Arecaceae. The record is from RNAcentral.